CCCGGGCCUUGUACACACCGCCCGUCACACCAUGGGAGUUGGUUUUACCCGAAGGUGGUGUGCUAACCGCAAGGAGGCAGCUAACCACGGUAGGGUCAGCGACUGGGGUG
RNAcentral lists this ribosomal RNA (110 nucleotides) under uncultured bacterium. RNAcentral's name for it is "partial 16S ribosomal RNA". It matches the Rfam family "Bacterial small subunit ribosomal RNA", at positions 1373 to 1482 of the family's 1533-position model. The record is from RNAcentral.